CACGUAGGGCGCGAGCGUUGUCCGGAAUUAUUGGGCGUAAAGAGCUCGUAGGCGGCCUGUUGCGUCCGCUGUGAAAGCCCGGGGCUUAACCCCGGGUCUGCAGUGGAUACGGGCAGGCUAGAGGUAGGUAGGGGAGAAUGGAAUUCCCGGUGUAGCGGUGAAAUGCGCAGAUAUCAGGAGGAACACCAAUGGCGAAGGCAGCUCGCUGGGACGGUACUGACGCUGAGACGCGAAAGCGUGGGGAGCAAACAGG
Molecule: ribosomal RNA, 253 nt
Filed under: uncultured bacterium
Lineage: Bacteria
Description: partial 16S ribosomal RNA
Rfam family: Bacterial small subunit ribosomal RNA
Source: RNAcentral